AGUCCACUUAAGCCCUGCUUAGUGUUGGGAAUCUACUCCAGAGGAGCUACCCUGUAGCUACCCUGUAGUUCCUCAAAGACAGCGGCGGAGUUGUGUUUUCCUCUGAGCUUAGUAAUUACUUCCUAGCUUUCGAGUCGACGCAGCCCCUGCCGUUAAACACCCUUCUUCUGAAU
Molecule: unclassified non-coding RNA, 173 nt
Filed under: uncultured Xylariales
Lineage: Eukaryota; Fungi; Ascomycota; Sordariomycetes; Xylariales
Description: sequence contains ITS2
Source: RNAcentral